UGGGGAAUAUUGCGCAAUGGGGGAAACCCUGACGCAGCGACGCCGCGUGAGCGAUGAAGGCCUUAGGGUUGUAAAGCUCUGUUUUAAGGGACGAAUGUUACGGGGAGUAAUAUGCCCUGUAAAUGACGGUACCUUAAGAGGAAGCCCCGGCUAACUACGUGCCAGCAGCCGCGGUAAGACGUAGGGGGCGAGCGUUGUCCGGAAUUACUGGGCGUAAAGAGCACGUAGGCGGGACUUUAAGUCAGGUGUGAAAGACCGGGGCUCAAGCUCGGGGUGGCACUUGAAACUGGGGUUCUUGAGGGCAGGAGAGGAAAGUAGAAUUCCUGGUGUGGCGGUGAGAUGCGUAGAAAUCAGGAGGGAUACCAGUGGCGAAGGCGACUUUCUGGACUGACCCUGACGCUGAGGUGCGAAAGCGUGGGUAGCAAACAG
This 429-nucleotide ribosomal RNA is filed under the name uncultured bacterium. RNAcentral describes it as "bacterial SSU rRNA". It matches the Rfam family "Bacterial small subunit ribosomal RNA", at positions 355 to 775 of the family's 1533-position model. The record is from RNAcentral.